CCUACGGGGUGCUGCAGUGAGGAAUAUUGGUCAAUGGACGAGAGUCUGAACCAGCCAAGUAGCGUGAAGGAUGACUGCCCUAUGGGUUGUAAACUUCUUUUAUAUGGGAAUAAAAUGUUCCAUGUGUGGGAUUUUGUCUGUACCAUAUGAAUAAGGAUCGGCUAACUCCGUGCCAGCAGCCGCGGUAAUACGGAGGAUCCGAGCGUUAUCCGGAUUUAUUGGGUGUAAAGGGAGCGUAGGUGGAUUGUUAAGUCAGUUGUGAAAGUUUGCGGCUCAACCGUAAAAUUGCAGUUGAAACUGGCAGUCUUGAGUACAGUAGAGGUGGGCGGAAUUCGUGGUGUAGCGGUGAAAUGCUUAGAUAUCACGAAGAACUCCGAUUGCGAAGGCAGUUCACUGGACUGCAACUGACACUGAGGCUCGAAAGUGUGGGUAUCAAACAGGAUUAGAUACCCGGGUAGUC
This 460-nucleotide ribosomal RNA is filed under the name uncultured bacterium. RNAcentral's name for it is "partial 16S ribosomal RNA". It matches the Rfam family "Bacterial small subunit ribosomal RNA", at positions 338 to 795 of the family's 1533-position model. The record is from RNAcentral.